Molecule: ribosomal RNA, 305 nt
Filed under: uncultured bacterium
Lineage: Bacteria
Description: partial 16S ribosomal RNA
Rfam family: Bacterial small subunit ribosomal RNA
Source: RNAcentral
ACAGCAGUCGCCGCGGUAAUACGUAGGUGGCAAGCGUUGUCCGGAAUUACUGGGCGUAAAGCGUGCGUAGGUGGUGGUUUAAGUCCGUUGUGAAAGCCCUGGGCUCAACCUGGGAAUUGCAGUGGAUACUGGGUCACUAGAGUGUGGUAGAGGAUAGUGGAAUUUCCGGUGUAGCAGUGAAAUGCGUAGAGAUCGGAAGGAACAUCUGUGGCGAAGGCGACUAUCUGGGCCAACACUGACACUGAGGCACGAAAGCGUGGGGAGCAAACAGGAUUAGAUACCCCGGUAGUCCCUGUCUCUUAUAC